AAUUAAGGGGGGAAAAAAAAUGCUAAUAGUAUUUUUAUUAUAGAAUAUAGAGUUGAGCUGAAAUACUAUCGGUAGCAAACGGACUCUAUUGCCACCCAUUUGUUUUCGAUGAUGGAGCCUCCAAAUCGACGAUUGGCACCGUUGAACAUAAUCUAUACCACUUGAAGUAUCUAGAAAUCAAAUUUAAUACUUUUUCGAUAUUAUUUUCUUAUCCAUCGAGUUGAUACAAAAAUGAAUGGCUGAAAAUAAAUAUUCUUUAAAAAAUGAUGAUAGGAGUCUUGUAGUCAAGAUCAAGAGUAUAGAUCUUAUUUUAAAUAGUUUAAAAAAUUUUCUAACAAAAAUUUAAUUGAUUUGGAUAUCUUUACGCCGUUAAACGAGAAAACGCCUCAUAUCGACCAUUAAAAUUAUAAAUUUUGAAACCCUUUGAUCAUUAGGCAAAUGAUGUCGAAAAGAUUUAAAAUUUGAUUUCUAAACAUUUCAAGUGGUAUAGAUCAUGUUCAACGAUGCCGAUCGUCGAUUUGGAGGCUCUAUCAUCGAAAACAAAUGGGUGACAACGGAACCGUUUGCUAUUGAUAGUAUUCUAGCUCAACUUAUAGAAUAUAUACAUUUUAUUCUUCAUCGUCAACAAUUUAAAAUCUUCUUAAAAUUUUUAUUAUUAAAAAUUUAAUAAUGUAAGUGAAUAAAUAUUAAUAUUUAAGAGGCUAGGGUGUGGUUGGGUGAAAAAUAUAAAUACGCAAUUGUAAUUUGGG
RNAcentral lists this long non-coding RNA (749 nucleotides) under Ananas comosus (pineapple). RNAcentral's name for it is "long non-coding RNA (ACOM_LNC026911)". The record is from RNAcentral. Lineage: Eukaryota; Viridiplantae; Streptophyta; Magnoliopsida; Poales; Bromeliaceae.